This is a long non-coding RNA of Carcharodon carcharias (great white shark), 1819 nucleotides long. RefSeq lists it as uncharacterized. The record is from RefSeq and is a predicted model, not a curated record. Lineage: Eukaryota; Metazoa; Chordata; Chondrichthyes; Lamniformes; Lamnidae. The transcript is spliced from 3 exons.
GCCCAGCAAAGACAUGUCGUAUUCAUAACUUUAAAACAAAGUGUACUCAGUGUGGGCAGUCGGGGGGAUCGUUCAACCUGCCUGUCUGUCUCUCUUCCAUGGUUACUUAUGCCCGCGCCUGGGUGCUCUUGGAGCGUGAUCACAGUGUCCACCGGUACGCUUGAGACCUUCUGCAGCCAAUGGGUGCCCGCAGGGGCAAGAGUGCAUCAUCAGCCCAGUUAAUUGAUGCUCAAAGAGUAAAUCACAACAACUGCAGAAACAGUGGCAGCGCAAGGAGCAGCAACAUCUAUACCUUAAGAGCUGGAGAUGGUAACAUCACAAGGGUCAUCAAGCCUGUUCCUUCUCGAGUUCACCAAUACAACAAACUGACCUCCUGCUAAUGAGACUACAUGUAACUAACUCCGUGACGUGUAGAAAGCCCAUCUCUUUGAAAGAAUCCUCCAACAACUAUGGUGUUCACAGGCUGAAUCUUUCUCACUUUGAAAAGUUUGCAAUUAGCAAAAGAACCACCGGCAUGAGCAGGAAAAACACGUUAUGCAGCAAAUUGUUGUGAUCUGAAAUGCACUGACUGAAAGGGUGGUGGAAGAACUUUCAAUAAUAACUUUCAAAAAGGAAAUGGAUAAAUAUUUGAACAGGAAAAUUUUAUAAGGCCUUUGGAAAAGGACUAGGGGGUGUGGGACUAAUUGAGAAGCUCUUUCAAAGAGUCUGUAUUGGCACAAUGGCCUCCUUCUGUGCUGUACAAUUCAGUGGUUCUCUGAAGAAAAUUAAAAUAAGGAUGCUACAAGUUGUGUAUGUAAACAUGGAUAUUUCAUAGUAAUAUUAAAGUUGCACGAAACACUGGAAGCUGCAUGAAUAUAUUUUCAACUUCCAAGUCAGCGUGUGGUCAUUGGAAGGAACUGGAGUGUAUAUUACAACAGACGGAACUUCUGCUCUCAGGAAAUACAAAGCUGUGCUAACUGUGAAUGGACUGAGGUUGGAGACAGCACUGCAGCAUCUUUCUCCAUAGUAACAGAUGGCUUCAUCAAUGCUGCCCUUUCACCCUCUGCCUCGUCUCCAUAAGGCAGAUUUUCUGAUUAUACCUCACAUUCUACUGCAGUUAUUGUGCUAGGGAUUGGGUGUUUCCAGCUUAGAUGAAAUCGUUGGAGCUUCACUAAUUUUUAGCGAUAUGCCAGUGACGUAACGACCUACAGUAAUCAUUGAUCAGGGAGCUAAGGAAAGAAGGCUGUUUUGUAUUUCAUGUACAAACAUUCAUAAUUAUUCAUAUUUGCUCAGUGCUUAGAAAAUUGAGAUUUCAUUGAAGCAUAUGAAAUUCUGAGGGGAUUCACAGAGGAGAAACUGAAAAAAGGUUUCUCCUGGCUGGAGAGCCUAGAAUCAGAAUUCACAGUUUCCAGAUAUGGGGAUGGCCUUUUAGGAUGGAGAGGAGGAGAAAUUUCUUUACUCAAAGUAUCUUUGGAAUUCUCUAACCCAGGAAUCAAUGAUGUCAUGUCAUUGGUUUGGCCACUUCUCUAGUGAUAUGUUAUCUUCAUUCUCCCUUCAAAAAACACCUUCACUGUAAAUUGUAACUGCAUUCCUACUUCAAUGCCUGUUGUAUAUUCACAGAAAUUAAGUGUUUGUUAUUUAUCCAUGCCCAGGAAUAAAGGGAUGAAAGUUAAAAACAGGAUUUGAAAAACAAAUGAUAAAAAUGUUUUUACUAAGUAAGAAGCUGAGUAUUUGCCCUUUGGGCAUAUGGACUAAAAAAAAUAUUAAAGCUGAAAAUCAGAUUAUGAAAAUGUUUCUAGGAAGUAAUUUAUUUGAAGCUUUUCUUUUAUACAACAGAAUC